GGAUUCAGUUAAUCCACUUGGCACACAGGGUUCAAACGUAAACUGUGUCUGACAGGAAUGUAUUGAAAUCAGAGAGGAACUCAGUCUUCAAAUUCAGACUUUUGGUUUAUUUUAAUUACUACUUGAACCUCCCUAAAAUCCAAAAUCAAAUUCAAAUCUCAGAUUAAUCUGCCAGUCCUGAUGCUUAUCACAGAGUUUGGAAUUGAAAUGACUGAAGAGAGAAACUUCAAAUUUUACAUGCAUGUAUAAGUGCUAGCAGUAAUAAAUCUCACCAUUUCCUGCUAAUAUUUCACACUGGUGAUCACUAGCCGGUAAGACCAACAGUGUAAAAACCAUGAACCCACAAGGGAAACUAUAACAAAAAAACACCAAAAAAAAAAAAACAAAAAAAACCAAAACCCACCCAACCAAAAAAACCAAAACUAACAAAAAACUUUUCAGAAAAAAGCCACAUGUGGAACACCUCUACUAAAACAAGGAAGCAGAUACCACCAGCUUUGAUGGACAGGCUUCAACUCUGAUGACUUAUCACUAUAGAUGGAUAUAAAAGGAGGGGUCUCUUCCUCCUUGUACAGAGGAGCAUUAGAUGAAUUUCUCUGUGCUCAUAGCUGGAUUCCCAGGUUUGCACUAGCUUCCCUGAAUGAGCAAGAAGUGUCAGAGCUAAAUUGAAAUCAGCUUUUGUGCCAUAAGUGUGUAGUGAUGUCAUUAGCUAUCAUCUUUGCUCCAGGACUGCUUGCUGCUGCUACUAACCAAGAAAGGCAGCAGGAAGAAGGGUCUUCUUGACCCCCACAGCAAGUUUAGGGUUGUUUGAAGUUGGAACCCACAAUGUUGCUUGUCCUAAAAACCAUAAAAAGCCCAACAGCUAACUUCUCCUUCUGAAACAGUGUACACACCCACUCACUGCUGACUAGAACUGUUUUUCAUGACUGUGAUAUUACCCACCACUGACUUUCCAUAUUACAAGAGAGGCCAGCUGCCGCAGGUCCGGAGUAAGGAAAUGCCAGUCUUAGUUUUCUUAUUUCUUUGGCAGAGACUCAGACAAUUUGGUUUUCAUUACACACAUAGCUUUUAUUUUUAAGUUGGAUCUAGAGGAGGGAAUAGUCACCAUCUUCAUCACUUCAGACAGGCUUUGAUCUGCAAAAUUCUUUAAUGCUGUCACACACAAAGUACUUUUGAUCACUACACUUUGUUUGGAAGUAGAAUAAAAUUUAUUAUCCAGCUAAGUAAUACAUUUGGAGGUUGGGAAGACCACUCUUCACAAGCAGCUUACCUUUUGUACAAAAGGUACAAAAGGUACCUUUUGUUCUGCCUAGAUGCUGUUCACAGGGAGUAAUUUACUGGUUGGGUACAGUCUGCAUUUGCUUUCAUGGAUUAGUAAGGAAAUAAUUUUUUAGAGAUUUGGCCAUUAUCCCAAGUAAUUUGAUAACUCUGUAAAGCUUAGUCUACAUUUCAAACCGUGUAGCAAUUGGGCAAAUAGUUUUGUAAAUCAAAUAAUUGUUCUAUAAAUCUUUAUUUACAAUCUUAAGAGUCUUUUUUCAAAAUGGAUGUAUACUCUCCUGUGGCACCUCCUUGUACAUAUAUGUCUGGUCUAAUGACAUGUCGCAGUAAGUUUUCUCUCUCAAUCCAGAGAAUAGAAACAGUGUCAAGAUGGAUUAUGGGACUGUGACUUUGGGACCUGUUGUCAUUUUUUUGACCCACCAGGACCUGCCUUAGCUGAUCCGGCUCAAACCACUGGGUGAGAUUCUCAAACAGGGACCUAGGGCUUGCUUAUUUCUGCUGGAGUGAGUGAGGCACUUUCAUGGUUCUGUGGGUCUCAGCUUGUGUUCCUCUUGUGCAAAACAAUGGUUAUAAUAAUGCUUUCUUUGGCUGACUGUUCUCUUUAGGUUAUGUUAGUCACUCUGCAGACAUAGAAGAGAGACAACAGGAACUUCUUUUUGGCGCAGAAGGAAUAGUAAUAAAUCCAAAAUCCACUGAGAUCAUUAGAAGUCCCUUCUAUCUUGUAUCAUACCCUGAGUGUUUAAGAUCAAUCUUUUAGCUAGCAUUUCCUAUCACUAAAUUUGUGAGAGACAAGCUGUGAAAGAAGGACCUGAACAGACAAAAAGAGAAUUCUUUCCUUUGAUUAACAAAUAUCUUCCAACUACACUUUAAAAAAUUUCCUGAGUAUUAGUCCUAGUUCUGGGAAAAAGGAGAGUGUCCCAAAGGUCGUCUCUGACAGCGCAUGAAAAGAAGUGCACUAGCGCUGUCAUGAAAAGAAUCUUACUAUUAAGCUAGUGUUGCUGAAUUUACCAUAUAAGGCAUAUUGGAUUCCAAGCUGGACUGGUCUGUGACUGUCAGUAUGAUUUAACAGAUUCCAUGCAUCAGGUUCUAAAUCUGCAAUACUUUAUUCUUCUGCCCCUGAUUAAGGUCUUGGAUCCAUACAGCUCUCACAUUUAAUUGCACUGUUCUUGAUUAAGAACACAUCUUUAAUCAAGUGCUGGGCAGCCCCUGUUAGCACAAUCAGAUGUUCUAAUGAAAGAAAGGAAUUGUAGGUGUUGCCAGCAGAGCUCACACAGAGAAUGUUAAAAAGGCAGGCAAGCAGAGGGCUGAAAAAGUUUUUGUCUCUUCUCUUUAAUCACCCCUCCCCUUUCCGCCUGACAUUUUCUUACUCAGUUGAAGCUGCCAAAUCACAGAUGGUUGUAAGGCCUGUAUGAAUAAGAAUAAAACAAGGAAGCUAGUAUUUGGGAGAGAAUGGAAGAGUAACAAAUAAGACUGACCUGAUUAUUCAAGCAUAGUCGGACAUUAUGCCAAACUGCAUCUUCUGAUAUUUGCUAUGUAAUUUAUAUAUAAGUAUAAACUGCAGGAUACAGUAAAAAAAGUGCUGCAUCCCUUCUGUGUCUCCUCUGCUGUGAAUCUAGCAGUGUUUUUGUGCUCUGAACCUCCUGACAUCUGAAUUUCACUGUACUGGUUAUAUCAAACACAGUUUGGAGUGGGCAGCUAUACCAAUACAGAUAAUGUUUGCUUCUAUAGCCAUAAGCAUACAUAUUUUGUUGCCAAUAUUUUUAAUUGUUGGGCAACCAAUAUUCCAUUUUGAUAAAGUUGUGCUAUUGCACACUGAGACUUCUAGUUUCAGCAUGAUAGCAGAAUAUGGAAGUAAAAGAAUAGCACAUUGUUGACAAUAGUUUAUACUUAGAUUCACUUUGAGGUCACUUUUCCUGCCCUGUCUGAUGCUUUGUCAGUGAAGGCCCAUGUUGGAGAAAAAGAAUGGAUUUAAUUACUGAGGUUUAAAGAAAAGAGGCAGAAAGAAGAAUGCUGAUCUGUAGGCAAGAGUCAUCAAGCUCUGCUUCUGCCCUCCUGACACUGGCAUCUGACUAAACUCCAGGAGUAGGGCUGCAGCUGCAGUACAAGCCCAGCUAGACCUUGGCAGCAGUCAGCAGCUUUAUGUACUUUGUGGGAGGGAGAGGAAAAAAACAAAGGAAAACAACACAACCAAAUAACAACAAUAACCUCUAGAAGUAGGAACAUGAGUUAAUUUAUUUUGGAGAUAAUGUUUCUCUGAUUGUCAGUCACAGGAGUAUUUAUCUGUGCACAUUGACGGGUUGUCUCUUUCGUAUGUUUUGUUUGGAGUGCAGUGACAUUGUUCCCACUUUGUAGCUGGAGAGCAGAGGCACAGAGAGAAUGAUGUUUUAAAGGCAUUGAACUAUGUAAUUCCAGAGAAUUAGUAUGGAAUUCUGGUCUCCAAACCAAGUUUCAGCAUCUGCCCUUCUAUUGUCUUUCAUCCCUCCCUGGCCAAACUGAGAUUGUAUGGUAGAGAAGGAAAUUGAACCGACCUCUCACAUCCCCCAUUAUAGCUGCAUUCCCACCAAGACUGGGAUUUGAGCCCUGCAUACUUGUCCUGUUACAACUCUGGACACUGCUUUAAGCUGUAAAUACACUUAACUUGCCUUUCUGCAUUAAGAGGAGUAUGCUUUAAUGGAAAAAUAGGUUAGCUGUGCAUAUGGUGAAAAUACACAUUUUUAACCUGCUUUUCUUUCAUUUGGAAAAAAAACCUAGGUUAAAACCUUCCUUUCAAGAAGCUGCCUUCAUUGUCUUCCUGAUUAACUUCUGUCUGCAUCAUUUUAUAUGCUUUUAGUCUUGUUUCUUUUUAUUUAAUUUUUUUUAUUUCCCAAUAUUUUAUAUCUCAAACUUUUCAAGCAUCCAUUAAGGAAAAUUUUGCUUUGCCUCUAGAAUUGUCUCUAAUACCAUUCUCUUCUCUCAAAAUAGGAUUAAAAAUAUGUUUUGAAUGAGAAAAUUUCCCUGAAUUAUGAAAUGACACAGAGCAUAUGUCAUACUAUUCUCCAUCACAUUCUUUUCAUAUUCUGACAAAUAUCACCUCUUGUCAUCAUUGCUGUAGACUGGACAGAGGGGUUUUUUUGUGGUACCUUAUGCCAACACCAAGUAAAUUCCUAACAAGGAUUACAGAUGCCCUGGGGCAUAGCCACACAACAAAGAGGAAUUGGGCCACUCACUGACCUGAGAGAUGGUAAACCAGUGAAUGUCACUUUGCAGUUGUUUUUGAGUCACUGCAACACAGCUUAGUCACGGAAUUAGCACCUGGGUCUCAGUGAGCCCUAUAGGUUCACGUGGUCCCUCUGAAAUAUCAUUUUCAAGAAGAUCCAGACAUUCAUUUGCAGGCAGUGAAAUUAUCAUGUUUAUUUGUUACUUAUGUGGUUAGAAAACACACAUGAAAAAGGCAAACUUUCCUUUUAGAGGCUUGUUAUUUUGUUUUGCAUAGCAGUGGGCAGCACAUGUUAAUGUGUGACCAAGCCACAGACUAAAUGACAUGUCUCCUUCUGCAGACAAAUUUAACUCGCAUUGAAGUCUAUGGGAGUUUUGCCAAUGACUAAUGGAAAUACUAGCAGUUCCUUAGGGUCAAACAAAGAGCACAACAAUAUCAGGAAAAAAAA
RNAcentral lists this long non-coding RNA (4922 nucleotides) under Taeniopygia guttata (zebra finch). Its description in RNAcentral is "lncRNA (ENSTGUG00000025795.1)". Lineage: Eukaryota; Metazoa; Chordata; Aves; Passeriformes; Estrildidae. The record is from RNAcentral.